This 72-nucleotide transfer RNA is filed under the name Salmo salar (Atlantic salmon). It matches the Rfam family "tRNA". Rfam says of the family: Transfer RNA (tRNA) molecules are approximately 80 nucleotides in length. Their secondary structure includes four short double-helical elements and three loops (D, anti-codon, and T loops). Lineage: Eukaryota; Metazoa; Chordata; Actinopteri; Salmoniformes; Salmonidae. The record is from Rfam by way of RNAcentral.
UCCCAUGUGGCUCAGUUGGUAGAGCAUGGUGUUUGCAACGCCAGGGUUGUGGGUUCGAUUCACACAGGGGAC